CCGUCGUUUUCUCUCAUUUUUUAUAAUCUUAUCAUAUUCUGGACUCAAACCAGGAAGGCACCCUGUUCUCACCCAUACAUCCUUUUCCAUCCGUAGAUGAAGAGCAAGGUAGGGUCCUUUGCUCCGNNNNNCCUCUCUGCAAGCCUGUUACCAAGCUCCAAAAUUGAUGGGGCAAAUCUCAACGCAUUAAAUGCCACCUUGCAGCGAAGUUUCUGAAGAUCAGAAGGGAGAUCUUUAG
This 238-nucleotide unclassified non-coding RNA is filed under the name Hevea brasiliensis (rubber tree). Lineage: Eukaryota; Viridiplantae; Streptophyta; Magnoliopsida; Malpighiales; Euphorbiaceae. The record is from RNAcentral.